UGGGGAAUAUUGCACAAUGGGCGCAAGCCUGAUGCAGCCAUGCCGCGUGUGUGAAGAAGGCCUUCGGGUUGUAAAGUACUUUCAGCGAGGAGGAAGGUGGUGAGCUUAAUACGCUCAUCAAUUGACGUUACUCGCAGAAGAAGCACCGGCUAACUCCGUGCCAGCAGCCGCGGUAAUACGGAGGGUGCAAGCGUUAAUCGGAAUUACUGGGCGUAAGGCGCACGCAGGCGGUUUGUUAAGUCAGAUGUGAAAUCCCCGGGCUCAACCUGGGAACUGCAUUUGAAACUGGCAAGCUAGAGUCUCGUAGAGGGGGGUAGAAUUCCAGGUGUAGCGGUGAAAUGCGUAGAGAUCUGGAGGAAUACCGGUGGCGAAGGCGGCCCCCUGGACGAAGACUGACGCUCAGGUGCGAAAGCGUGGGGCAGCAAACAGGAUUAGAUACCCUGGUAGUCCACGCUGU
This 457-nucleotide ribosomal RNA is filed under the name uncultured bacterium. Its description in RNAcentral is "partial 16S ribosomal RNA". It matches the Rfam family "Bacterial small subunit ribosomal RNA", at positions 355 to 803 of the family's 1533-position model. The record is from RNAcentral.